GCACCAAUAGCUCAGUGGUAGAGCGUGCGUUUAGUAAGCGCAAGGCCAGGAGUUCAAACCUCCUUUGGUGCA
RNAcentral lists this transfer RNA (72 nucleotides) under Ostreococcus tauri virus RT-2011. It matches the Rfam family "tRNA". From Rfam's summary of the family: Transfer RNA (tRNA) molecules are approximately 80 nucleotides in length. Their secondary structure includes four short double-helical elements and three loops (D, anti-codon, and T loops). Lineage: Varidnaviria; Bamfordvirae; Nucleocytoviricota; Megaviricetes; Algavirales; Phycodnaviridae. The record is from Rfam by way of RNAcentral.